RNAcentral lists this ribosomal RNA (198 nucleotides) under uncultured bacterium. RNAcentral describes it as "partial 16S ribosomal RNA". It matches the Rfam family "Bacterial small subunit ribosomal RNA", at positions 328 to 539 of the family's 1533-position model. The record is from RNAcentral.
ACGCUCGACACCUACGGGGGCAGCAGUGGGGAAUAUUGCACAAUGGAGGAAACUCUGAUGCAGCGAUGCCGCGUGAGGGAAGAAGGUUUUCGGAUUGUAAACCUCUGUCUUUGGGGACGAUAAUGACGGUACCCAAGGAGGAAGCUCCGGCUAACUACGUGCUAGCAGCCGCGGUAAUCUGAGGCGGGCUGGCAAGGC